This 346-nucleotide ribosomal RNA is filed under the name uncultured bacterium. RNAcentral's name for it is "bacterial SSU rRNA". It matches the Rfam family "Bacterial small subunit ribosomal RNA", at positions 8 to 350 of the family's 1533-position model. The record is from RNAcentral.
AGAGUUUGAUCAUGGCUCAGGAUGAACGCUAGCUACAGGCUUAACACAUGCAAGUCGAGGGGCAGCAUGUUGGUUGCUUGCAACCAAUGAUGGCGACCGGCGCACGGGUGAGUAACGCGUAUCCAACCUACCCUUGUCCAUCGGAUAACCCGUCGAAAGGCGGCCUAACACGAUAUGCGGUUCACAGCAGGCAUCUAAGAUGAACGAAAUGUGAAGGAGAAGGAUGGGGAUGCGUCUGAUUAGCUUGUUGGCGGGUAACGGCCACAAGGCUACGAUCAGUAGGGGUUCUGAGAGGAAGGUCCCCCANAUUGGAACUGAGACACGGUCCAAACUCCUACGGGAGGCA